This 642-nucleotide ribosomal RNA is filed under the name Porphyrosiphon sp. WUC550. RNAcentral's name for it is "bacterial SSU rRNA". It matches the Rfam family "Bacterial small subunit ribosomal RNA", at positions 202 to 862 of the family's 1533-position model. Lineage: Bacteria; Bacillati; Cyanobacteriota; Cyanophyceae; Oscillatoriales; Microcoleaceae. The record is from RNAcentral.
AAGAUUUAUUGCCUGAAGAGGAGCUCGCGUCUGAUUAGCUAGUUGGUGGGGUAAAGGCUUACCAAGGCGGCGAUCAGUAGCUGGUCUGAGAGGACGAUCAGCCACACUGGGACUGAGACACGGCCCAGACUCCUACGGGAGGCAGCAGUGGGGAAUUUUCCGCAAUGGGCGAAAGCCUGACGGAGCAAGACCGCGUGAGGGAGGAAGGCUCUUGGGUUGUAAACCUCUUUUCUCAGGGAAGAAAAAAAUGACGGUACCUGAGGAAUCAGCAUCGGCUAACUCCGUGCCAGCAGCCGCGGUAAUACGGAGGAUGCAAGCGUUAUCCGGAAUCAUUGGGCGUAAAGCGUUCGUAGGUGGCCUUUCAAGUCUGCCGUUAAAGACAGUGGCUUAACCACUGAAAGGCGGUGGAAACUGAAAGACUAGAGUGCGGUAGGGGUAGAGGGAAUUCCCGGUGUAGCGGUGAAAUGCGUAGAGAUCGGGAAGAACACCAGUGGCGAAAGCGCUCUACUGGGCCUGCACUGACACUGAGGGACGAAAGCUAGGGGAGCGAAUGGGAUUAGAUACCCCAGUAGUCCUAGCCGUAAACGAUGGAUACUAGGUGUUGCUCGUAUCGACCCGAGCAGUGCCGUAGCCAACGCGUUA